GACGAACGCUGGCGGCGUGCUUAACACAUGCAAGUCGAACGGAAAGGCCCUGCUUUUGUGGGGUGCUCGAGUGGCGAACGGGUGAGUAACACGUGAGUAACCUGCCCUUGACUUUGGGAUAACUUCAGGAAACUGGGGCUAAUACCGGAUAGGAGCUCCUGCUGCACGGUGGGGGUUGGAAAGUUUCGGCGGUUGGGGAUGGACUCGCGGCUUAUCAGCUUGUUGGUGGGGUAGUGGCUUACCAAGGCUUUGACGGGUAGCCGGCCUGAGAGGGUGACCGGCCACAUUGGGACUGAGAUACGGCCCAGACUCCUACGGGAGGCAGCAGUGGGGGAUAUUGCACAAUGGGCGGAAGCCUGAUGCAGCAACGCCGCGUGCGGGAUGACGGCCUUCGGGUUGUAAACCGCUUUCGCCUGUGACGAAGCGUGAGUGACGGUAAUGGGUAAAGAAGCACCGGCUAACUACGUGCCAGCAGCCGCGGUGAUACGUAGGGUGCGAGCGUUGUCCGGAUUUAUUGGGCGUAAAGGGCUCGUAGGUGGUUGAUCGCGUCGGAAGUGUAAUCUUGGGGCUUAACCCUGAGCGUGCUUUCGAUACGGGUUGACUUGAGGAAGGUAGGGGAGAAUGGAAUUCCUGGUGGAGCGGUGGAAUGCGCAGAUAUCAGGAGGAACACCAGUGGCGAAGGCGGUUCUCUGGGCCUUUCCUGACGCUGAGGAGCGAAAGCGUGGGGAGCGAACAGGCUUAGAUACCCUGGUAGUCCACGCUGUAAACGGUGGGUACUAGGUGUGGGGUCCAUUCCACGGGUUCCGUGCCGUAGCUAACGCUUUAAGUACCCCGCCUGGGGAGUACGGCCGCAAGGCUAAAACUCAAAGGAAUUGACGGGGCCCCGCACAAGCGGCGGAGCAUGCGGAUUAAUUCGAUGCAACGCGUAGAACCUUACCUGGGUUUGACAUGGAUCGGGAGUGCUCAGAGAUGGGUGUGCCUCUUUUGGGGUCGGUUCACAGGUGGUGCAUGGCUGUCGUCAGCUCGUGUCGUGAAAUGUUGGGUUAAGUCCCGCAACGAGCGCAACCCUUGUUCACUGUUGCCAGCACGUUAUGGUGGGGACUCAGUGGAGACCGCCGGGGUCAACUCGGAGGAAGGUGGGGAUGACGUCAAGUCAUCAUGCCCCUUAUGUCCAGGGCUUCACGCAUGCUACAAUGGCUGGUACAGAGAGUGGCGAGCCUGUGAGGGUGAGCGAAUCUCGGAAAGCCGGUCUCAGUUCGGAUUGGGGUCUGCAACUCGACCUCAUGAAGUCGGAGUCGCUAGUAAUCGCAGAUCAGCAACGCUGCGGUGAAUACGUUCCCGGG
Molecule: ribosomal RNA, 1343 nt
Filed under: uncultured bacterium
Lineage: Bacteria
Description: 16S ribosomal RNA
Rfam family: Bacterial small subunit ribosomal RNA
Source: RNAcentral